GACGAACGCUGGCGGCGUGCUUAACACAUGCAAGUCGAACGGAAAGGCCCUGCUUUUGUGGUGUGCUCGAGUGGCGAACGGGUGAGUAACACGUGAGUAACCUGCCCUUGACUUUGGGAUAACUUCAGGAAACUGGGGCUAAUACCGUAUAGCAGCUCCUGCUGCAUGGUGGGGGUUGGAAAUUUUCGGCGGUUGGGGAUGGACUCGCGGCUUAUCAGCUUGUUGGUGGGGUAGUGGAUUACCAAGCCUUUGACGGGUAGCCGGCCUGAGAGGGUGACCGGCCACAUUGGGACUGAGAUACGGCCCAGACUGCUACGGGAGGCAGUAGGGGGGAAUAUUGCACAAUGGGCGGAAGCCUGAUGAAGCAACGCCGCGGGCGGGAAGACGGCCUUCGGGGUGUAAAACGCUUUCGCCUGUGACGAAGCGUGAGUGACGGUAAUGGGUAAAGAAGCACCGGCUAACUACGUG
Molecule: ribosomal RNA, 468 nt
Filed under: uncultured bacterium
Lineage: Bacteria
Description: partial 16S ribosomal RNA
Rfam family: Bacterial small subunit ribosomal RNA
Source: RNAcentral